AUAGCUACUUGCAUCAUUKUGAUAUGAUGUAAGAUCGWCUAUGUUGAAUAAAAUUCUAGGUAGAAUUAUGAUAAUGACAUUGUCUGCCUAUGUGUCUUGAMCAAAUUACGUGCCAGCAGUCGCGSUAAUACGUAGAAGACUAGUGUUAUUCAUGUUUAAUCGGUUUAAAGGGUACCUAGACGGUAGAUCAAGCUUUCUAAUAAAUGAAAAGGACUAAUUUACUAGAGUUACUUAUGAGGGGGUAUUAAAGUACUGCUGGUGUAGAGAUGAAAUUCUGUCAUACCUCUUUUCAAAAGAAAAACCAUGGCACAGGUAUAGGCGAAGGCAUCCCCUUAUGUGAUAACUGACGUUGAGGGACGAAGGCUUUGUGUAGCGAACAGGAUUAGAUACCCCAGUAGUCGAAGCAGAAAAUGAUGAAUGUCAUAGAUUAGAUGUAUAAGUUUAUUCUAUAAAUGAAAGUGUAAGCAUUCCACCUCAUGAGUAAUUUGGCAACAUUGGAACUGAAAUCAUUAGACCGUUUCUGAAACCAGUAGUGAAGUAUGUUGUUUAAUUUGAUGAUCCGCAAAAAACCUUACCACAAUUUGAAUAUUUAUAUUUUUUUUAUUGUUUUUUUCUUAAGAGAUAAAUAAUUAAAGAAAAAAAUCAAAAAAGGAAGAAAAUUAAGAAAGAGGCAAUAAGAUAUAUUUACAAGCGUUGCACGGCUGUCUUCAGUUAAUGUCGCGAGACUUUGGUUAGUUCCAUUAAAUUAACGUAAACCCUUACUUUAUUUUUAUAUAGAGUAGUUCCCCGCUAUAUGGAUAUGAUAACAGG
This 810-nucleotide ribosomal RNA is filed under the name Xanthoparmelia sp. Its description in RNAcentral is "partial small subunit ribosomal RNA". It matches the Rfam family "Bacterial small subunit ribosomal RNA", at positions 378 to 1173 of the family's 1533-position model. The record is from RNAcentral. Lineage: Eukaryota; Fungi; Ascomycota; Lecanoromycetes; Lecanorales; Parmeliaceae.